This 605-nucleotide ribosomal RNA is filed under the name uncultured freshwater bacterium. RNAcentral describes it as "bacterial SSU rRNA". It matches the Rfam family "Bacterial small subunit ribosomal RNA", at positions 8 to 607 of the family's 1533-position model. The record is from RNAcentral.
AGAGUUUGAUCCUGGCUCAGAUUGAACGCUGGCGGCAUGCCUUACACAUGCAAGUCGAACGGCAGCACGGGUGCUUGCACCUGGUGGCGAGUGGCGAACGGGUGAGUAAUAUAUCGGAACGUACCUUAUCGUGGGGGAUAACGCAGCGAAAGCUGCGCUAAUACCGCAUACGCCCUGAGGGGGAAAGCGGGGGACCGUAAGGCCUCGCGCGAUUAGAGCGGCCGAUAUCUGAUUAGCUUGUUGGUGGGGUAAAAGCCCACCAAGGCGACGAUCAGUAGCUGGUCUGAGAGGACAAUCAGCCACACUGGGACUGAGACACGGCCCAGACUCCUACGGGAGGCAGCAGUGGGGAAUUUUGGACAAUGGGGGCAACCCUGAUCCAGCAAUGCCGCGUGAGUGAAGAAGGCCUUCGGGUUGUAAAGCUCUUUUGUCAGGGAAGAAACAGCAGCUCUAACACAGUCUGCGAAUGACGGUACCUGAAGAAUAAGCACCGGCUAACUACGUGCCAGCAGCCGCGGUAAUACGUAGGGUGCAAGCGUUAAUCGGAAUUACUGGGCGUAAAGCGUGCGCAGGCGGUUAUACAAGACAGGCGUGAAAUCCCCGGG